Molecule: ribosomal RNA, 758 nt
Filed under: uncultured bacterium
Lineage: Bacteria
Description: bacterial SSU rRNA
Rfam family: Bacterial small subunit ribosomal RNA
Source: RNAcentral
AGAGUUUGAUCCUGGCUCAGAAUCAACGCUGGCGGCGCGCCUAACACAUGCAAGUCGAGCGAGAAAGCAGGAGCAAUCUUGUGAGUAAAGCGGCGUACGGGUGAGUAACACGUGGAUCAUCUACCUCUUUGUGGGGGAUAACUCUGGGAAACCGGAGCUAAUACCGCAUAAGUCCGAGAGGAGAAAGCAGCAAUGCGCAGAGAGAGGAGUCCGCGGCCGAUUAGCUAGUUGGUAGGGUAAAAGCCUACCAAGGCUGAGAUCGGUAGCCGGCCUGAGAGGGCACACGGCCACACUGGCACUGAAACACGGGCCAGACUCCUACGGGAGGCAGCAGUGGGGAAUCUUGCACAAUGGGGGCAACCCUGAUGCAGCGACGCCGCGUGAGCGAUGAAGCCCUUCGGGGUGUAAAGCUCUUUCGGCAGGGAAGAUUAUGACGGUACCUGCAGAAGCAGCUGCGGCUAACUACGUGCCAGCAGCCGCGGUAAUACGUAGGCAGCAAGCGUUGUUCGGAGUUACUGGGCGUAAAGGGUGUGUAGGCGGUUCCCUAAGUUUGGUGUGAAAUCUCCCGGCUCAACUGGGAGGGUGCGCCGAAAACUGGGGAGCUAGAGUACUGGAUGGGAGAGUGGAAUUCCUGGUGUAGCGGUGAAAUGCGUAGAUAUCAGGAGGAACACCUGUGGUGUAGACGGCUCUCUGGACAGUAACUGACGCUGAGACACGAAAGCGUGGGUAGCAAACAGGAUUAGAUACCCUAGUAGUCC